Long non-coding RNA from Monodelphis domestica (gray short-tailed opossum), 613 nucleotides. RefSeq lists it as uncharacterized. Lineage: Eukaryota; Metazoa; Chordata; Mammalia; Didelphimorphia; Didelphidae. The record is from RefSeq and is a predicted model, not a curated record.
GUAAUCAAUUGUGUGUGGCUGGGGUCGGGGCGGGCAGGUGGGUAAGAUAACACUGGGUCAAAUAAAACACUCACAGAGAUGCCUGAAUGAAUUCUGAGCACAGAAAACGCAUCUUCCAUGCUGCCUAUUGGGUGCCAAUUCUCAUCUCAUCUAUUCCUCCUUUCUGAAUUCUGAGACAAGACUGACAAUGGGUUGGGGAUGCUCGGAGCACUAUUAUGCUUUUCGCGGCUGGGAAAGGAAGGAUGUGAGCAGCAAUUUGAAGUCCCACUGAGAAGUGUCAGGAAUAAUCUGGGAAGAAUCUGAAUCCAUGGUUACACCUAGAUGGUAAAGAGCUGCAGCAAAUCAGUUUUCAGGAAGCUCUGGGAAAUGUGGGCUCUGCAGCCCAGGCAGGAUCAUCUCGUUUUGCCUGGCCUCCUUCAUGCUAGUGCCUGCCUUCCGAGACUCUCCGCUUUAUCCUGUCUACGGAUUUACUGGUAGUACAUGGGUUUUGCAUACUGUCUUUUCCACGUGAGCUCCUCGGGAGCAGAAACAAUUUUUUGCCUUUCUUUGUAUUCCUAGCACUGAGGAGAGUGCCUGACACAUCCUUAAUAAAUGCUCGUUGAUUUGACUUUCA